This is a long non-coding RNA of Liolophura sinensis, 698 nucleotides long. RefSeq lists it as uncharacterized. NCBI's taxonomy places the organism in Eukaryota, Metazoa, Mollusca, Polyplacophora, Chitonida, Chitonidae. The transcript has 3 exons. The record is from RefSeq and is a predicted model, not a curated record.
AACAUGCUGAUAUAAAUGAACAUCAUGUAUACUAAUACCAAGGGCCAGCGCCUGAUUUCUCUUGUUUGAAUCAAAGCAUUUCUCAGUGCUCUCAGCAGGACAUCAAUUACCAUCUUUGAGAUCAAUUUGUUUUGUUAGGGUCGUCAAACAUUCUUUUGAUAUUUAUUUUGUACUACUAUGGAUCUGUUCUCUAUCUUUGUGUACAGAUCAAUACUUUGUUGGACAUCUUCUGCUAAUGGUUGCUAACCCACUUGAUGGGGUUUACUGGAACUCUGCCAUUUUUCUCCACGGAGCAAUGAUGUCAGCUGUAUUUGAAACUCUCCCAUGGCUGCUCUCCGUCCAUUGGUUGUCAAAGGCGACAGAAGAUACUGUUCAUCUCCAAUCGUUGAGGAUGUAAAGAUUUUUCUUGAGUUUCCCUUGAUGUAGGAGUGUAGACUUCACUUCACGCCCAGCUAACAACGCCCAGUCAGGAUGCCAGCGGGGGCCAUACCCUUCCCAUUUGGAGAGUGUCGCAUCUGUAAUGACAAGGCUACAGGAGUGCAUUAUGGGGUAGCCACAUGUGAGGGAUGCAAGGGUUUCUUCAAACGAAGCACAACGAAAGCUGAAAAAUACAAAUGCUUCUUUGGCAGCCAGUGUGUAAUAACACCACAAAACCGUAAUCGUUGCAAAUAUUGUAGAUACAAACGAUGUCUUGAAAA